RNAcentral lists this ribosomal RNA (1311 nucleotides) under uncultured archaeon. RNAcentral's name for it is "16S ribosomal RNA". It matches the Rfam family "Archaeal small subunit ribosomal RNA", at positions 77 to 1393 of the family's 1478-position model. The record is from RNAcentral.
CUCGGCGAAAGGCUGAGUAACAUGUGAGUAAUCUGCCCUUAGGUGGGGGAUAACCCCGGGAAACUGGGAAUAAUACCCCAUAGGCAAUUCAUCCUGGAAUGGUGUUUUGCUGAAAGACUUGUCACCUAAGGAUGAGCUCGCAUCCUAUCAGGCUGUUGGUAAGGUAACGGCUUACCAAACCUAUGACGGGUAGGGGCCAUGUGAGUGGGAGCCCCCAGAUGGGUACUGAGACAAGAACCCAGGUCCUACGGGGCGCAGCAGGCGCGAAAAAUUCGCAAUGCCCGAAAGGGUGACGAUGGAACUCUGAGUGCCAUUCUUUAAGAAUGGCUUUUUACGAUUGUAAAUAGAUCGUAGAAUAAGUGCCGGGUAAGUCUGGUGCCAGCCGCCGCGGUAACACCAGCAGCGCAAGUGGUAGUCGGCUUUAUUGGGCCUAAAGCGUUCGUAGCCUGACAGUCAAGUCCUUGGGUAAAUCCGGCGGCUUAACCGUCGGAAUUCCAUGGAUACUGGCUGUCUUGAGGCCGGGAGAAGGUGUGGGUACUUCUGGAGUAGGGGUGAAAUCUUCUGAUUCCAGGGGGACCGCCUGUGGUGAAAACGCACACCUAGAACGGGCUUGACGGCGAGGAACGAAACCCAGGGGAGCGAACGGGAUUAGAUACCCCGGUAGUCCUGGGCGUAAACGAUGUCCGUUUGGUGUUGCAUACUCUACGUGGGUGUGCAGUGCCGGAGCGUAGGCGUUAAACGGACCGCCUGGGGAGUAUGACUGCAAGGUUGAAACUUAAAGGAAUUGACGGGGGAGCACCACAAGGGGUGGAGGCUGCGGUUUAAUUGGAUUCAACGCCGGAAAUCUCACUGGGAGCGACAGCAGUAUGAUGUUCAGGCUGACGACUUUAACUGACGCGCUGAGAGGAGGUGCAUGGCCGCCGCCAGCUCGUGCCGUGAGGUGUCCUGUUAAGUCAGGUAACGAGCGAGACCCGCGCUCUUUGUUGCUAUUUCUUCCUCCGGGAGGAAAGCACCCAAAGGGGACCGCUGGUGAUAAAUCAGAGGAAGGAGCGGGCAACGGUAGGUCAGUAUGCCCCGAAUCUCCCAGGCUACACGCGGCCUACAAUGCGUAUGACAAAGAGUUGCUACGCCGAAAGGUGACGCUAAUCUCGAAACCUACGCUCAGUUCGGAUUGAGGGCUGUAACUCGCCCUCAUGAAGCCGGAAUCCCCAGUAAUCGCGAAUCAUUAUCUCGCGGUGAAUACGUCCCUGCUCCUUGUACACACCGCCCGUCAAGUCAUUCGAGUGGGCUGAUAGUGAGGCCCCAUCUUUU